This is a long non-coding RNA of Herpailurus yagouaroundi (jaguarundi), 408 nucleotides long. RefSeq lists it as uncharacterized. The record is from RefSeq and is a predicted model, not a curated record. Lineage: Eukaryota; Metazoa; Chordata; Mammalia; Carnivora; Felidae. The transcript has 3 exons.
CCCGCCCCCAUCCUAGUUCCCGCCCCCUUAUUCCUACACCUGUAAAGACCCCUUCCAGCCCUUCGGUUGAGAACACGUGACCCUGGGGCACUUCCCCUGAGUGCGCCCUGCGGCCGUCCUCCUACCAAACGCAGAGACCAACCGCAGGGACCAACCGCAGGGACCAAACGCAGCACCCGGUGGCGGCGAGGAAGAUACCCGUGUGUCAGUUUCCAGAGCAUGUUCCCGUGGACCCUGCUCAGGACCAGGUAUGAAGACCAGCUCUGGGGGCAUCAAGGACUAGGAGAGGAGCAGCAGGAACUGUGGGCAGGUGGGCGCUGACCCUGUGUGACCUGCAGGCUGCCCCUUCCACUGACCUGGCUCCUUCUGGGACUGACCUAGCCCUGUCCUCCUUGUCCAUAACUCACC